RNAcentral lists this ribosomal RNA (253 nucleotides) under uncultured bacterium. RNAcentral's name for it is "partial 16S ribosomal RNA". It matches the Rfam family "Bacterial small subunit ribosomal RNA", at positions 524 to 776 of the family's 1533-position model. The record is from RNAcentral.
UACGUAGGGUGCGAGCGUUGUCCGGAAUUAUUGGGCGUAAAGGGCUCGUAGGCGGUUUGUCGCGUCGGGAGUGAAAAUCCAGGGCUUAACUCUGGUCUGGCUUCCGAUACGGGCAGACUAGAGGUAUGCAGGGGAGAACGGAAUUCCUGGUGUAGCGGUGAAAUGCGCAGAUAUCAGGAGGAACACCGGUGGCGAAGGCGGGUCUCUGGGCCGAUACUGACGCUGAGGAGCGAAAGCGUGGGGAGCGAACAGG